Long non-coding RNA from Loxodonta africana (African savanna elephant), 3596 nucleotides. RefSeq lists it as uncharacterized. The transcript has 3 exons. Lineage: Eukaryota; Metazoa; Chordata; Mammalia; Proboscidea; Elephantidae. The record is from RefSeq and is a predicted model, not a curated record.
ACUAGCCAACCAAUUAACCAAACAAACAAAAAAGGGCUGGGUCUGUAGAAAUGUAUAAUUUGUCAAACUGUCUCCAGUGAACGCCCCAAAAAAUAUGAUUUGAAGCAUACAUAGUUGAUGUUGUUGAGAACAUAAAAGGAUGACAUUCUCUUAUUUUCCUUGGUUGAUAGCAAAGGGCCUGAACUCUGUCUAAAUGGCUUCUGUUUUUCUUUAGCAAAAACCACAUGUGCCACUAACUAGGCAACUAAGGCCUCUGCAGAAUGAUGAGGUAAGGAUGAAAUCUUUGACGAAGAAACACUGAGCCAUUUGAAUUAUUUUAUAAAGGUUCUUUUUUACUUCCUUCCUACUGGACUCUUUAGAGACUUGAAUAUUGUUCGUCUUCACUUCCUUCUAAACAGGAGGUAGCAUAUGAUCAAGAACCCGAUGGUACUGAAGGAAGAAGUCUCAGCUGCUCUGAAGGCAUUGGCGAAAACAAGGCUCCAGGAACUGACAAAAUACCAACUGAGAUGUUUCAACAAGCGGAUGUACACUGGAAGCGCUCACUCAUCUAUGCCAAAAAAUUUGGAUGACAGCUACCUGGCCAACUGACUGGAAGACAUGUAUGUAUGUGCUGGUUACAAAGAAACCUGAUCCAACAGAAUGUGGAGAUUAUUGAGCAAUAUCCUUAAUAUCCCAUGCAAGUAAAAUUUUGCUGAAGAUAAUUAAAAAAUGGUUGUAGCCAUACAACAGAUUCAGAAGAGGACAUGGAAUGAGGGCUAUCAUUGCUGAUGUCGGAUGAAUCUUGGCUGAAAUCACAGAAUACCAGAAAAAUGUUUACCUGUGUUUUACUGACUAUGCAAAGGCAUUCGACUUCAACUGUGUGGAUCGUAACAAAUUAUGGAUAACAUUGGGAAGAAUGGGAAUUCCAGAACACUUAAUUGUGCUCAUGAGGAGCCUGUAGUUAGACCAAAAGGCAGUGGUUCGAACAGAACAAGGGAAUACUGCAUGGUUUAAAGUUAGGAAAGGUGUGUGUCAGGGUUGUUUUCUUUCACUGUGCUUAUUCAAUCUGUAUGCUCAGCAAAUAACCUAAGAAGCUAGACUGUAUAAAGAAGAACGUGGUGUUGUGAUUGGAACAAGACUCAUUAACAACCUGUGAUAUACAGAUGACACAACCUUGCUUGCUGAAAGUGAAGAGGACUUGAACCACCUAUUGAUGAAUAUCAAAGACUACAGCCUUCAGAAUGGAUUGCACCUCAACAUAAAGAAAACAAAAAUCCUCACAACUGGACCAAUAAACAAACAACAUUAUGACAAAUGGAGAAAAUAUUGAAGUUGUCAAGGAUUUCAUUUUACUUGGAUCCAAAAUCAACACCCAUGGAAGCAGCAGUCAAGAAAUCAAAUGAUGUAUUGUAUUGAGCAAAUCUGCUGUAAAAGACCUCUUCAAAAAGUGUUAAAAAGAAAAUAUGUCACUUUGAGGACUAAGGUGUGCCUGACCCAAGCCAUGGUAUUUUCAAUCACCUCAUAUGCAUGCAAAAGCUACAUAAGGAAUGAGGAAGGCUGGAGAAGAAUUGAUGCCUUUGAAUUAUGGUGUUGCAGAAGAAUAUUGAAUAUACCACGGACUGCCAGAAGAACGAACAAAUCUGUCUCGGAAGAUGUACAGCCAGAAAUCUCCUUAGAAGCGAGGAUGGCGAGACUUUGUCUCCCUUACUUUGACCAUAUUAUCGGGACGGACCAAUCCCUGGAGAAGGACACCAUGCUUGGUAAAGAACAGGGUCAGUAACAAAGAGGAAGACUCUCAAUGAGAUGGACUGGCACAGUGGCUGCAACAAUGGGCUCAAACACAGCAACUAUUGUGAGGAUAGCACAGGACCAGGCAGUGUUUGGUUCUAUUGUACAUAGGGUCACUAUGAGUUGAAACCUGCUGAAUAGCACCUAACAACAGCAGCAACCCUGGUUCCUAGCUCAUUUUGGUCCUCGGUCAGGAUUCCUGUUUGUUUAAGGAUUUGGCUCUUCUGGUGACUUGUCCCACCCAGUUGGACACACCUGAACACUUUGACAUAAGUUUGAAAGCAGAAAUAUCAGCAGAGAAUUAGUCUAUUGAUUUGUAAAGAGAUUGUUGUUGUUAGCUGCCGAUGAGGCCUCUACUCAUGACAACCCGUGCACAACAGAACAAAAUGCUGCGUGGUCCUGCACCAUCCCCAUAAUAGGUUGUGAAUUGUACUGUAUUGAUCCAUGAGGUUUUCAUUGGCUAAUUUUUGGAAGUAGAUCACUAGACCUUUUCUCCUAGUUUGUUAUAGUCUGGAAGCUACGGUUUCAGUAUCACAGCAACACACAAGCCUCCACAACAGAUGGUGGUGGCUGCUCUUGAGUUGCAUUGGCCUGAAGGAAGAACCAGGUCUCGCAGAUGGAAGGUAAUAAUUGUAACACUGAACCACCAUUGCCCUCACAAGAGACUCUAGCCACUACUUAUACUCGCUUUUUCAUUAUUAUAAUGAAUCCUUCCUUUUUUAAAUUAAUUUUGUUGUUGUUGUUGAGAAUAUACACAACAAAACAUAUACCAAUUCAACUGUUUCUACAUGUACAAUUCAGUGACAUUGAUUACAUUCUUUGAGUUGUGUAACUACUCUCACCCUCUUUUUCUAAGUUGUUUCUUUCCCAUUAAUAUAAACUCACUGACCCCUAAGAUUUUUGUCUAUCUUUUGAGUUGCUGUUGUCAUCUUGAUCCCUUAUAGAUUGUUCUUAAAAGAGCGUAAUGCUCAUGGCAGGUAUUUUUUACUAGUUAAGCUAAACUAUUGUUUGAUUUCAAGAAGAUUUCAGGGGAUAGUUUUAGUUUAAGAUUUUUUUUUUUAAUUAACUUUCAUUGAGCUUCAAGUGAACGUUUACAAAUCAAGUCAAACUGUCACAUAUAAGUUUAUAUACACCUUACUCCGUACUCCUACUUGCUCUCCCCCUAAUGAGUCAGCCCUUCCAGUCUCUCGUGACAAUUUUGCCAGCUUCCAACUCUCUCUAUCCUCCCAUCCCCCCUCCAGACAGGAGAUGCCAACACAGUCUCAAGUGUCCACCUGAUACAAGUAGCUCACUCUUCAUCAGCAUCUCUCUCCCACCCACUGUCCAGUCCCUUCCAUGUCUGAUGAGUUGUGUUCGGGAAUGGUUCCUGUCCUGGGCCAACAGAAGGUUUGGGGACCAUGACCGCUGGGAUUCCUCUAGUCUCAUUCAGACCAUUAAGUAUGGUCUUUUUGUGAGAAUUUGGGGUCUGCAUCCCACUGAUCUCCUGCUCCCUCAGGGGUUCUCUGUUGUGCUCCCUGUCACGGCAGUCAUCAGUUGUGGCCGGGCACCAACUAGUUCUUCUGGUCUCAGGAUGAUGUAGGUCUCUGGCUCAUGUGGCCCUUUCUAUCUCUUGGGCUCUUAGUUAUCAUGUGACCUUGGUGUUCUUCAUUCUCCUUUGCUCCAGGUGGGUUGAGACCAAUUGAUGCAUCUUAGAUGGCCGCUUGUUAGCAUUUAAGACCCCAUAUACCACAUUUCAAAGUGGGAUGCAGAAUGUUUUCAUAAUAGAAUUAUUUUGCCAAUUGACUUAGAAGUCCCCUUAAACCAUGGCCCCCAAACCCCCACCCUUGCUC